Corapipo altera (White-ruffed manakin) is the source of this 1125-nucleotide long non-coding RNA. RefSeq lists it as uncharacterized. The record is from RefSeq and is a predicted model, not a curated record. Lineage: Eukaryota; Metazoa; Chordata; Aves; Passeriformes; Pipridae. The transcript has 3 exons.
UCAAGCAGGGUCUUAGCUGCUCCAGCAACAAGCUAUUACUACCAACCAGGAAAACCCUCUACCUUCAGUUCAGCCUGUGGACUCUGUGCAAUGCGAGGAGACAGCUUCCCCUCAGAGCUCUAUCAUGGACGUGGACAACUGCUGUGCUGAUCCCCCGUGUUUUGCCAAAAGUGACCCACUCAGAAGCAAACAGCAUGGGAAAGUCUGCUAACAGCAUCUGAGAGUUUAAGUGAAAAUGAAUUUGAACUGAAUCCCACUGUGGUUGGUGAAAGAAUUCCUGCUAAUUUCAGUGGAUGUGGGAGAUUGGCCCUGAAACAUACAGCUCCUCAGGAUACUUACCUUGACCAGCUUUGCACUUCAAGUUAUCUCACUGGUUUCAGGCAAGUAUUUCAAGGCUUUGCUGAAUCCAUUGGAAGCUCACAGAGACCAUGAUUCAAAUCUUUUGUGGCAAUGGAGCAAUGACAACUCAAAAUGCAGCAAAGUAAUGGGAAAAGCAAGAGUUCUGUUCCUUAACAAGAAUGAUUCAACAAAACCAAAAUGAGUCAAUGUAAGUUUGCGAGUGGAUUUAAUGCAAGUUCUACCAAGCCUAGAACAUGUUUUGAAAUGUACAAAUUUUGCCAAAAGAGAAUGUUUUAUCUCUGUUUUGUUUAUUGCUUUGAUAUAAAUUAAGAUAUUGAUAAUAUUACUCUGGACUGUUACCUGUAUCUUCAAAACUGUGGAAAAUAUAGUGCUAGUGGAAUGGUUGUACCAAGGCUUGGGACAUCAGUUGAGACUAAGAGGACGUGGAUCAUUCUACAGCUUCAUCAUGGACAUCCUAAGUGCCCUGUGUCAGCUACUGCAUCUCAUUUCCUCAUUUAUAAAAUAUGAAUUGCUGUGACUCUCUGUUUGAGAGAAUGCUGUCAGCAUAAUACCUUUUCACGAUUAUGAGACACCUGAUAGUGAUUAAAAGCACUUAUGCGAAUAGAUGAAACCUGUUGAGACACACAGAUGGACAAAAAUAAAGAGGGAGAAUCUGAACACAGGAAAUUGUUUUCUGCUGAAUUACACUGUAACAAGUUUGAUAUUACACACACCACUCCAACACACAAAUACAUAUAUUUUGUACAUCCUUUAAUAGGAAUCCUU